Molecule: unclassified non-coding RNA, 227 nt
Filed under: Hevea brasiliensis (rubber tree)
Lineage: Eukaryota; Viridiplantae; Streptophyta; Magnoliopsida; Malpighiales; Euphorbiaceae
Source: RNAcentral
GUGUUGUGAAUCCUCCAAAGCAACCUGUUUCUGUCUUUGCUGAUACGCAUAGCAGUGAAAUAAAAGAUCGCAUUUUUGAUGAAUUUAAUAGCCUCUCUGUGGUGUACCAAAAGCCAUCUUACAUGUUCACUGAUAAAGAACACCGGGGACCAUUUGAGUUUUCAGAUAAGCUUGGCAACUUAUCUACUGGGGCAGAAUCUACAAAUGAUGUUGUACGAGCAAAUAGA